GAUGAACGCUGACAGAAUGCUUAACACAUGCAAGUCGACUCGAGUCUUCGGACUUGGGUGGCGCACGGGUGAGUAACGCGUAAAGAACUUGCCUCUUAGACCGGGACAACAUCUGGAAACGGAUGCUAAUACCGGAUAUUCUGCUUUUGCCGCAUGGUGGGGGUUGGAAAGAUUUUUUGGAUGGGGGAUGGGCUCACGGCCUAUCAGCUUGUUGGUGGGGUGAUGGCCUACCAAGGCGUCGACGGGUAGCCGGCCUGAGAGGGGUGACCGGCCACAUUGGGACUGAGAUACGGCCCAG
This 298-nucleotide ribosomal RNA is filed under the name uncultured bacterium. Its description in RNAcentral is "partial 16S ribosomal RNA". It matches the Rfam family "Bacterial small subunit ribosomal RNA", at positions 28 to 334 of the family's 1533-position model. The record is from RNAcentral.